RNAcentral lists this ribosomal RNA (483 nucleotides) under uncultured bacterium. Its description in RNAcentral is "partial 16S ribosomal RNA". It matches the Rfam family "Bacterial small subunit ribosomal RNA", at positions 30 to 506 of the family's 1533-position model. The record is from RNAcentral.
AUUGAACGCUGGCGGCAGGCCUAACACAUGCAAGUCGAGCGGAUGAAGGGAGCUUGCUCCUGGAUUCAGCGGCGGACGGGUGAGUAAUGCCUAGGAAUCUGCCUGGUAGUGGGGGAUAACGUCCGGAAACGGGCGCUAAUACCGCAUACGUCCUGAGGGAGAAAGUGGGGGAUCUUCGGACCUCACGCUAUCAGAUGAGCCUAGGUCGGAUUAGCUAGUUGGUGGGGUAAAGGCCUACCAAGGCGACGAUCCGUAACUGGUCUGAGAGGAUGAUCAGUCACACUGGAACUGAGACACGGUCCAGACUCCUACGGGAGGCAGCAGUGGGGAAUAUUGGACAAUGGGCGAAAGCCUGAUCCAGCCAUGCCGCGUGUGUGAAGAAGGUCUUCGGAUUGUAAAGCACUUUAAGUUGGGAGGAAGGGCAGUAAGUUGAUACCUUGCUGUUUUGACGUUACCAACAGAAUAAGCACCGGCUAACUUCGU